AUAGUAUUUUUAUAGAGAGUAUUGACAUCUUUAAGUAAUUUAAUGCAGUAUAUAUUGUAAUUUGGUUAUGAAAUUUUUAACUGUAUUUAAAAGCAAAAUCGAAAAUUCCAACAAGAAAAUUGAGUAUUUCUCAUUUUAUUAACUUAUAAAAAAUUUAUUCUUUAAGUAAUCAUGAUGAUUAAGUAAUAAAAUUUUUAUAUUAAUGGUUUGCCAUUGGUCAUCUACUGAUGCUAGUUUAGAGUAAAGCAAUCACUUGCCACCUUAGAGAAUUUGAAUUCAAUUCCAGGUUUCACUUCUCUAGUUUUUAGAAGUGGCUUAUGUCUGGUGUUGAACCCCAUCCUUUAACCUUUCAGUUGAUGUCACUAUAGGUGAGAUCAACGAAAGAUUGAAGAAUACCACAGGCAUCAUUGGCUAGCCUGUGUGUUUGGUGGUCUCAAAAAAUUGCUGGAGGUCAUGAUGGAACAGUUCUUGAAUGUCAAUUCCACUAUGGAAUUGCCCACACUGUGGUGGGAUUGGCUAUCAAAAGAUGAGAUUCAAUAAGCUGGUCUCGGAUCCCCUUUGAAAAACUUUUAGAUGUAUGGAAUCUGAGAAUUAAAUCCAGAAACUUCUGUCUUCGUAUUACCGGCAGUUAUCGUAGUAACCAUGUGACGGCUACCGGUUUUGCUGUUUGCCAGGCCGGUCUAUCGAGUUUAAAUUCUGCUGGCUGCCGGAUUCGGCAAAUUGCUUUCGACCAAUUGAGUGAAAUAUUAAUAAUGAUGCCAUACUGAAUGUGUUUUAAUCUGUAACUAGUGACAUGAUUGCCACGCACAUUUAUUGUGAUGCAUGUCGCAAAUUUAAAUUAUUUUAUGUUAAAAUAUUCAACAACAAAUUUUUUUUGAUCACACAAAACUGGACUCUAAACAAAAAAUUUGUGGAGAUCAUUUGACCAUUAUUGUGCGACAAAUUUUUUUUAAGUAUGAAAAGGAAAAACAAUUCUAAUCGUUUUUUGCUUUAUUAAAAAUAUUGUCUAGCCUUUUUACUGGAAAAACUAAUUGCUGAAAUAACAGCAGUUUUUCACAAACAUCAGAGAAACCAUUAUUAUUUCGACAAAUUUUAUUAGCUCCUCAUGAAUUGGUUGAUUGUCUUAUGAAUCAUCUCAUUGGCCCUCUUAUUCCAGCCACCAGUGAAUAAGAGGACCAAUGAGAUGAUUCAUAUGCUUCUCCGUUUUCGAUGAUGGCUAGGCCGGGUACUCGGCAAUUCAGGACAGUGGACGCACGUUUUGAGUCUGCAGCUUACUACGUGACCUGAUCUGUGUGAUAAACACAAAUGGCUGCAUUGUAAUCUAUACUGUGAUGUCAGUUUUUUUGUCAGUAGAUUAUGCAACAUUCUAUUUUGUCGAAUACUGACAGUGGGGGGGAAAACAGAUCUUGUCACAGUUUUCUGAAUUAUACAGGUGGGGAUCAUCAGUCUUGGACCUGGCUGAAUAGAUAUAAAUUUUUCAAAAUAUGGAAUACAGGCUCUAAAUUGGUAAGCUUGGAGGAUCAGAGUUCAAUUCUUAGACUCCAUAUCUCUAAAAGUUUAUUCAGAAUGGGUUCGGGCCGAUUCAUUGAAUGCCAUCCUUUGCCAUGGGUGCCAGAAUGGUAAUUGAGAUUAUCCCAAGUGAAGAAAUUCGUAUUGGGCUGGUUGAGCUUGGUAUUGCCCAACUCUCACCAGAAGAUGCUCUAUAGUUCGCCACCUGACCAUUCAGUUCCUGCGGGUCCGAGAUUAAGAAUCGACCUGCCGAAUGCUCUGCAUGAGGUAUGAAUCCUCGAUUAGUCCAAAAUCCCAAGGUGGUGUAUUAUGCUGAAAGGACAAAUAGCUGAAGGAUAGAAGCCUUAAUGAUCCAUUCUGACAGGGGCCCCUAGUCUCGACUUUUUUGUGUUGUACUCGAACGCACAUCAGCCAAUGCACUUGUGUCACUUCUACUCAUAAAUUUGGUAGUCUCAAGUUCCAACCGCUACACGAACGUGAC
Molecule: long non-coding RNA, 1990 nt
Filed under: Androctonus crassicauda
Lineage: Eukaryota; Metazoa; Arthropoda; Arachnida; Scorpiones; Buthidae
Source: RNAcentral